Molecule: ribosomal RNA, 301 nt
Filed under: uncultured bacterium
Lineage: Bacteria
Description: partial 16S ribosomal RNA
Rfam family: Bacterial small subunit ribosomal RNA
Source: RNAcentral
CAGUAGCGCGGUAAUGCGUAGGGUGCGAGCGUUAAUCGGAAUUACUGGGCGUAAAGCGUGCGCAGGCGGUUGUGUAAGACAGGAGUGAAAUCCCCGGGCUUAACCUGGGAACUGCGCUUGUGACUGCACAGCUAGAGUAUGGCAGAGGGGGGUGGAAUUCCACGUGUAGCAGUGAAAUGCGUAGAGAUGUGGAGGAACACCGAUGGCGAAGGCAGCCCCCUGGGCCAAUACUGACGCUCAUGCACGAAAGCGUGGGGAGCAAACAGGAUUAGAUACCCGCGUAGUCCCUGUCUCUUAUACC